CGACGUAGGGACUGGAGCUGCCGUGGCCGUCCUUGGGGACAAGGUGGUGAGCGUCGACAACCUCCACGAUGAGUUUUCGAACAGUGGCCAUUCUGAGGUUAGUUUCCGAAGUGUGCGUUUUGGAUGAUAUAGUCUGUUUGUCUAUCUCAUGUCCUAACAAGUAAAAACCCUACUCUGCCAAGUUCAGGGUUCUUGUUCAUCACCAAACCUUUGAAGCUUUUGUGGAAUUCUUUGAUGUGAAUGGUUAGAAUAUGAAUAUGAAUAUGAAUAUGAAUUUGUGGAGUCUGAAGCAGAGAGCAUGGGAAGGCCUAACAAAUUUAAAUUUAAAUUGAAAGAGGGUGCUUA
RNAcentral lists this long non-coding RNA (345 nucleotides) under Phaseolus vulgaris (common bean). RNAcentral's name for it is "long non-coding RNA (PVUL_LNC002457)". Lineage: Eukaryota; Viridiplantae; Streptophyta; Magnoliopsida; Fabales; Fabaceae. The record is from RNAcentral.